AUAGAGAGUUGGUGACUGCCUUUGAGAGAAUGGUUGUGAUCCUUUUGCCGAGAACUCACCCAGAGGACUUAAACCUUGGUGACAGCAGAAGGACUCAAGUUAGAAGGCCAGGGCCCUUAAAGGGAGGGGAAGAUUCGAGGAAAGUAUAGAUUAGAAAACUGAGGCCCAGAGAAGGAAAGUAGCUGCCAGAGGUCACACAGCUAGGAUUGAGGGAUCAGAGGUUGCACCCUUCUAGGAACUUCCGCCUGAGGGAGACUGGUCAGAGCUCAGGAGGGACUGUUCCAGGGGAUGAGAUAUCUGCUGGCCAGGAAAGGCAUGGGAACUGGGCAGCGGAGCACACCCUCCAGACCUGGCCCAACUUCAGAAUAACAACAAAUGAUUGUGCCAGGCUCUGCCAGUUCCUCCUCCCCCACAAGCUGGCACGUGUGGAUAUUGGCUCUGUUUGCCUUUGACCCCUAGUGAAAGAAAAUACUGAGACGGAGUCUCGCUCUGUCGCCCAGGUUGGAGUGAAGUGGCUAGAUCUCAGCUCACUGCAACCUCUGCCUCCCAGGUUUAAGCAAUUCACCUGUCUCAGCCUCCAGAGUAGCUGGGACUACAGGCGCAUGCCACCAUGCCCUACUAAUUUUUUGUAUUUUUAGGAGAGACGGGCCUUCACCAUGUUGGUCAAGCUGGUCUCGAACUCCUGACCUCAGGUGACCCACCGGCUUCACCCUCCCAAAGUGCUGGGAUUACAGGCAUGAGCCACCGCGCCCAGCCUCAUAUCUAUCUUUAUCACUCCAUUUCAGAUCUUCUUCCAUAUAUGGCUCUGUGUGUCUCCUGUCCUUCCCUGUCUCCU
This 835-nucleotide long non-coding RNA is filed under the name Pan troglodytes (chimpanzee). RNAcentral's name for it is "lincRNA". The record is from RNAcentral. Lineage: Eukaryota; Metazoa; Chordata; Mammalia; Primates; Hominidae.